GGGGACGAAAAGGUUUCGACGUGGAUUACAAAGCUCAAGGUGCAUGUCGUGAUGGUAGCGAAUCACGUAAAUCCAAAGCUGCAAAACAAUAGUUGCAAAUGAUGACAACUUCGAGGGCGCUCUAGCAGCAUAAACCCUCAAAACUGGGUCAAUUAGUCACCCGGCGGUCACUGGCCUGUGCCUGAACGGCGCCUACUGACUGUCAAUAAUUCAGGAUCGCAGCAAAGGUUGUCUGGGCCGGAGCUGUUAAACUUUAAUCCCAGGCUCCCGUUUACGCUCCUGCCCUUCGGAAACGUAACCGGUAAAUUAAAGAAGAGGCUACACAUGUAGGACCGAGAGUGGAGAGUUUGCGGACGCGGGUUCAAUUCCCGCCGUCUCCACCA
RNAcentral lists this transfer-messenger RNA (383 nucleotides) under Gynuella sunshinyii. RNAcentral's name for it is "Standard tmRNA". It matches the Rfam family "transfer-messenger RNA". From Rfam's summary of the family: Bacterial tmRNA, also known as 10Sa RNA or SsrA, is named for its dual tRNA and mRNA-like properties. Its role is to liberate the mRNA from a stalled ribosome. Lineage: Bacteria; Pseudomonadati; Pseudomonadota; Gammaproteobacteria; Oceanospirillales; Saccharospirillaceae. The record is from RNAcentral. RNAcentral also lists the same sequence under 1 other name.